UCCCUUCUCCACAGUAGAGGGGGAAAGAUGGCGCCCACACACGUACUGAGAUGCUGUCAACGGGGCUUAGCAUGGAUACCUGUGAUUUUUAUCGCGCUCGUCGUCUGCUGGUCGUACUACGCUUACGUGGUGGAGCUUUGUAUAUUCACCAUCCCCAGCAUAGGAGAGCAGAUUGUCUACCUGAUCUUCUUCCACCUCUCAUUCGUCAUGUUUGUGUGGUCUUACUGGAAGACCAUCUUCACCAAGCCUGCUAACCCUUCCAAAGAGUUUUGCCUCCCCAAGGCUGAAAAGGAACGCUAUGAGAAGGAGGAGAGGCCAGAGUCCCAGCAAGAGAUCCUGUGGAGAGCUGCCAGCAGCCUCCCUCUGUACACCCGCACAGGCGCUGGCGCGAUCCGCUACUGUGACCGCUGUCAAGUUAUCAAGCCAGACAGAUGUCAUCACUGCUCAGCAUGUGACAUGUGUGUGCUAAAGAUGGAUCAUCACUGUCCCUGGGUGAACAACUGUGUGGGAUUCUCCAACUACAAGUUUUUCAUCCUCUUCCUGGCCUACUCGCUGGUGUACUGUUUGUUCAUUGCAGCCACCGUCCUGCAGUAUUUCAUUAAAUUCUGGACACUUUGCCGCAGGAAAUCGGCAGAAAACUGCCCAAAGAAUGAGCUGACAGACACGCCUGCCAAAUUCCACGUCUUGUUUCUUUUUUUUGUGGCCGCCAUGUUCUGCAUCAGUAUUUUGUCCCUCUUCAGCUACCACCUUUGGCUUGUAGGGAAGAACAGGUCGACAAUAGAGGCAUUCAGAGCACCAGUCUUUAGGACAGGCUCUGAUAAAAAUGGUUUCUCUCUGGGUUUCCGAAAGAAUAUUGCUCAGGUCUUUGGUGACCAGAAGAAGUACUGGCUGCUGCCCGUCUUCACAAGCCAGGGAGAUGGUCUGACGUUCCCCACCCGACUGGUCAACACCGACGUGGAGCAGGCCACAGUGACACUGCAGUCAGAGCCCAGUAAAAGCGCUGCUGACAUCACCGUGAGUCCACUCAGCGAGUCUCAGAAUCGCCUCCUGAGCAACGAGCAGCAUGCUAAUAACAUCGGAGACCAUCUGGCAAAUGACACCCUCAAAUCAGCUGAAAGCGAAACCAUUACAAUCUCAAUGGAGAGCGAGUCCUAACCAGGUAAUUGCAGUCAGCCACCUCUCAGCGAGUCUGUAGCUCUGGCUUAAUGGAGAAGCACCUCAGUCAUCUACUUCGAUGCCUUAAGCAAAGCUAGAGUUCAGUUUCUCAGCAGUCUGCCAGCAGAUGCCCAUUUAAAUCCAUUCACAGUAA
This is an RNA transcript of Maylandia zebra (zebra mbuna), 1309 nucleotides long. It is a transcript of the gene named zDHHC palmitoyltransferase 20b, with no coding region annotated. The record is from RefSeq and is a predicted model, not a curated record. Lineage: Eukaryota; Metazoa; Chordata; Actinopteri; Cichliformes; Cichlidae.